AUUGACAUGCUGACUUCCCAUCAGAACUCCCAUGAAGCACUGUGACCCAAGUCUCUAAAGUUGCCUCAGGAAGAUGCCUGGCAAAAAUACUACAACGGAAGCAAACGACAUUCCCAACAGAAAUGGAGCGAACUCGGCAUCUACCCAUCCCAAACCACACAGGAGGACAAGCAGGAAAACAAGGAAGCAAGGCUCCCGGAUGGCUUCAAUGCGAAGGUCCCUGAACACAGGGUGCUUCAGUCUGCAGGAUGAAGAGAACGAGGGAUGAAGGGAGCAGAGGAGAGAAAUGGAGAGACUGAGGAGAGCAGCCAGCCGCAUCGCUCACCUCCAUUUCCUCCUUCUGGAGGACAAAGAUAAGGACAAGAGCUGUGACAGAGAAGGGCAGAUGGAUUAAUGAUCGUUCUGUUCUUCUCUCAAUGGGGACAGUCAAUGUGUGUCUAUUAUUGUCUUUCCUUGCAUCGCCCUUGUCUUGACACUCAUCUGGAUAGAGUGGCGAUUCCACCUUGUAAUGGGAGCAUUGAUAUAUUCUACAUUCGCCCUGUCAAAGGAGUCAGUGUCACCCACACGCAGGUGCACACGCACCCAUACACACUCAUAAGUAUACACAUAGAAAUGCUGUGGUCAAAUGGCAGAAGAACCUACUAUGCACGACAUAAGUGACCCAUAGGACGCAGCUUCUGGUGUAUAAGGUUCUAAGAAACCUAGCCAGGUUAACAUCCGCCAUGGGAAUGAGUUCAGUUCACUAGCUCGUGUUGACAGACGCUGCCUGUACUUUACUGUACAUUGACAGUACAUCCCGUUUUAGCUCCCGCUGCCUCUGGCAUUAUGGGAGAGUGGUGUGGAGUGCUUUUUUUCUUUCUCUCCCUCUCUUUAUCCUUCUGUGCCUGACUGCCAGCUCAGAAAACAGACUGCUGACGUCCCUGGGUUCACACCAAAAAGCCAAAGACCCAAAGUGAGACCAGGCAGGUCUGAGAUCUGUGCUGUAUAGCCUUAGCCAAAUGGCACUGACAAUGGCCAUUCGAUUUGGCUACGCAGCAAAAACUAAUCUGGGACCAGGCUAAGGUGCUGCUAAUUCCCUAAAAACUGUUUAGCCAGACACAAUCAGGUGACUUGAGACCAAAGCUGUUUGUAGUUUCCUUCUUCUCCUUUGUUUGACCAGAAGUGAUGCUCCAUUCUCUUUGGACUUCUGUCACACACACAGACCUUGACCAGGUUCCUGUCUCAGAUGGUUCUUCUUUCCACUCCUUGCUUGCAGGCUAAAUUUAGACCUGAUGCUGCCUGGCUUUUGUGCUGCGGCCUCAGUUGACAGAGAAAAAUAAAGGGAGAGAGAGAAACAGAGACGUUGCAUGCCCCAGAGCCAUUGAAUGUCUGUCCUGCAUCAAAAAAAACUCUAAAUAAAAACUGAGGUCUCCUCUCGUGCCCUUCUAAAUGCAUGAGAAAAACCGAGAUGUUUGUGUUACUCAAGACAAGACUUCUGGCAGUAAGCGUUAUUUAUUUCUGACAUUCUCUUCCUGACAACUCAAUUCCAGAGAAUAAACUCCUCCACCCUUUGUACAGUGGGGGAUGGGGGAGUUACCCUACAUAUUAGGAGGAAAUAAUCUCUCAUCUUCACAGAUCUCUAAAAAUAUCCAUGAGGACUUAAUGUCCCCUGUAUUGUAAGGGGAUCUCAAGAACCGAGCUAAAUCGAUCAUGGACAUGGCACGUCACGCAUUGGCUGUAUUCUAAUUCUCAGCAAUUCACCAAGACAGUAAGCUUAUUCCAUAAGAGCUCAGUUCAUCAAGAGAGUAGACCUACUUCACAACAGCCUCUUGACUGAACAUCAUGUAACACUUGUGUUAUAGUACAUGCUGGAACAGAACUGGGGUAUUGACACAGUGCCAGGCCAGAAGCUUUGAAGUGUGUGGUUAAGAAGAGGACACCUAUGGGUCCCGAGAAUUGUGUCAAAGAGCCCCGUUCUCCAGCCAUCCUCCCGCCACGGUCAGAAUUCAAUUCGGAAAGGAGGCAUAAGAUCACUGCCGACGUUCCUGAAUCCCCUCCAGAUUCUCCCUCUAUGAACUCAGAAAAGCCAAGACUGCGUCAGCAGAGCGUUCCCGGGAAGUUGCAAAAACGGAACUCGACAGAACCCUUUCGCAACUCCGGGCGGAGUUUGUGCAUGCAUGCUGCGCUACGCAGGAAGAACCGAGCAGGGAGAGAGAGAGAAGAAAAAAAAGAAUAGCCUCGGGUGUAGUAGCAUUUUUACCGGCAAGUUGUUGCCACACACCACACUCUUGGACGAUUAAUAUUUAUGUGGCGCCCGCCGAGCGAGCGAAGCCUAAAGCCCAGGGGAUGGAGCAAGCUGCCUGGCAUACUCCCCAUCAACUUCUACAGUGCUGAGAUAAAGAAUGUUCGCUCUCCAUUGAGCUUCAUUUCUGUGAACAAAUCAGGUAACACAAGAAAGAAAUCUAUUGAUUUGGCCUUUAGAAUAUAGCUCGCUCCCAGAUGUGUUUGUGCCGUCUUGCCAAAUGCUAUGGUCAUUGUCACGCCGGCUAAAAGCUUGGCUAAUACAGGAGGGACAUUGGUUUGGCUGACAGAAUGUACUAUGCGGAUAGUAAAAGUUACUUACACUAGUGUAUACUGUAUGCAGUAUAGCCUGCACUCACAUGCCUCCUAUCACCGAUCAGCAAUCGCACCAAUUGUCCUUCAGAUGCUCCUCUUGGGCAAUCACAGACUUGUUAAGUCGGUAGAUGCAGCCAGAAACGGCGUGACGAACACUGCUUCUCUUUGAAGUAUGAAAGCCGCUGCAUGAUGAACUGAGGUUGACUCAGGCAACAAAUUGACUGAUAACUUUGUUCACCGUUUUCACAGCUCGCGGCCAUAUUCCUUUUAAGGCCUCAUGAUCAGAUUGGUUCCUGUUUCUAGUGUGAACAUCUUCAACUGAUGUUUCUCUUGAGGAGAUAUGAAUGCGUAUUCCUGUCCUGGUUCGCCGGAUCUGUUUCUGCCUCUGACCGUGGCGUUGCCGGGGUACAUUGCCAGAGUAGAGGAGAACAGAGCACAGGGCCAGACUGUUCUCAAAACACCAGCUGAAAGAGGGAACUGGAAAGAAGACAAGACUGCACACAACCAGACGUUUACCUCGGACACACACUUCACUCUCAAUCUUCUCUUUACUGCAUAUUGUUUUUAUUACUAUUUUUUUUGCAUAUGGUUUUAACCUGAACUGACACCAGUAUUAUGAUUGCAGUGCAGGCAGUCAGCAUGCAGUUAUGCCACAAAAAGCUCAGCUAUAAUAGAGCUUUUAUAACCAUUAUAACAUGUCUUGAAGCAGAGCUGUUAAAGUACUGUUCUGACACUGAAAUGAAGGAGCUGUCAUAAUCCCAGCAAGGGAAGGGGUGUGGUUGUAAACAUACUGCCAGCUCAUCCUCUCUCUUUAGCUCUCCUUCCUUCUCCGUUUCUGACUGAGUGAGGGAAAAUGUAUAGAAGCAAAGGAUGAUACUGGAGACUUCCUGUUUCAGCAUUAUCACAGUCUACUUAACCACAGAAGUCCAAUAUUGCUGAACUACUGAGGAUAAUGAAAGGAUUCAAUGAAAGAGCUUAUUAAGUGUACUUUUUAACAAACUAGGGGGAGGGUUAGUUACUUAUUCUGUCUCCUCUUGUAGCAUUUCUUUGACUAAAAAUUGUCAUAUAGGCUACAAAGACUAAUUUUGGGGUUGCUCAUUCUGGUUCUCCACAAAAUGAUGACUGCAUGUAAAAUGUUGAGUACAGUAUAGGAUGCUUGUUAUAGGAUGCGAGAAAGACAGAAUUGUGUCCUGCCAAAGACUACCAGUGCUAUCCUUUUCCAUAUCUGUACGGAAACAAAUCGCUGAACUUUUCCUUGAAAACAUGACACCGAUUACCAUAUGACUUGCCAUUGACAAAGACAUUAGCUGCCCCUCAUUCAAAUGUGUUGGAACCAAAGGACAACACCCCUGCAACAUGUUUUUCUUUAUAUUAUAUUCCAUUAUAUUCCCUCUCAUUCUGUAGGCCUAUCAUAAUAAAUAAACCUCUGAAAAGACAAGGUAAAAUCUCUUACAAAAUACUUUAUUGAAUAUCGACCAAUUCAAGUGAAUUAAGGGACUUACUGGUUACAA
Oncorhynchus tshawytscha (Chinook salmon) is the source of this 4106-nucleotide long non-coding RNA. RefSeq lists it as uncharacterized. The transcript is spliced from 3 exons. The record is from RefSeq and is a predicted model, not a curated record. NCBI's taxonomy places the organism in Eukaryota, Metazoa, Chordata, Actinopteri, Salmoniformes, Salmonidae.